GUCCCGGAUGGCGCAGUGGUUACCGCACCUGCCCAGUGAGCAGGAGAUCCUGGGUUCAAAUCCCGGUCGGGUACA
Schistocerca serialis cubense is the source of this 75-nucleotide non-coding RNA. The record is from the annotation of a RefSeq genome assembly. NCBI's taxonomy places the organism in Eukaryota, Metazoa, Arthropoda, Insecta, Orthoptera, Acrididae.